RNAcentral lists this ribosomal RNA (837 nucleotides) under uncultured archaeon. RNAcentral describes it as "bacterial SSU rRNA". It matches the Rfam family "Archaeal small subunit ribosomal RNA", at positions 21 to 859 of the family's 1478-position model. The record is from RNAcentral.
GGUCACUGCUAUCGGUGUUCGUCUAAGCCAUGCGAGUCAUAUGUUCUUCGGAACAUGGCGUACUGCUCAGUAACACGUGGAUAACCUGCCCUUGGGUCUGGCAUAACUCCGGGAAACUGGGGAUAAUACCGGAUAACGCAUAUCUGCUGGAAUUCUUUAUGCGUGAAAUGGAUUCGUCUGCCCAAGGAUGGGUCUGCGGCCUAUCAGGUAGUAGUGGGUGUAAUGUACCUACUAGCCGACGACGGGUACGGGUUGUGAGAGCAAGAGCCCGGAGAUGGAUUCUGAGACAUGAAUCCAGGCCCUACGGGGCGCAGCAGGCGCGAAAACUUUACAAUGCGGGAAACCGUGAUAAGGGGACACCGAGUGCCAGCAUCCUAUGCUGGCUGUCCGGGUGUGUAAAAUACACCUGUUAGCAAGGGCCGGGCAAGACCGGUGCCAGCCGCCGCGGUAACACCGGCGGCCCGAGUGGUGAUCGUGAUUAUUGGGUCUAAAGGGUCCGUAGCCGGUUUGGUCAGUCCUCCGGGAAAUCUGACAGCUUAACUGUUAGGCUUUCGGAGGAUACUGCCAGACUUGGAACCGGGAGAGGUAAGAGGUACUACAGGGGUAGGAGUGAAAUCUUGUAAUCCCUGUGGGACCACCUGUGGCGAAGGCGUCUUACCAGAACGGGUUCGACGGUGAGGGACGAAAGCUGGGGGCACGAACCGGAUUAGAUACCCGGGUAGUCCCAGCCGUAAACGAUGCUCGCUAGGUGUCAGGCGUGGCGCGACCGUGUCUGGUGCCGCAGGGAAGCCGUGAAGCGAGCCACCUGGGAAGUACGGCCGCAAGGCUGAAACUUAA